This is a long non-coding RNA of Panthera uncia (snow leopard), 1065 nucleotides long. RefSeq lists it as uncharacterized. The record is from RefSeq and is a predicted model, not a curated record. The transcript is spliced from 3 exons. NCBI's taxonomy places the organism in Eukaryota, Metazoa, Chordata, Mammalia, Carnivora, Felidae.
CGCUGAUUGGCUACGUCAGCUUUCUUGGCGACGACUAUCCGGCAGAGAUGGUAAAAGGCUCAUCUUGCAUAGAGCGAUCUGAUUGGCUCACGUGACCGGGCGCCCUCUUUGUUGGGGGCAAGAAGACUCCCGGUCGGUGACGUCCUGCGCUCCUUUAGAUAAAGUGGUGUUGUGGUGCCUCCCAGCGCUUGGAAGUUUAAGUGUUCCUGGAGGGUAUUUUUACAGGAGGUCGGCACUGAAUUCCAGACACUCUCCCGGACUGUCAUCCACUCCUUUCUACGAAGCCAGGCGGAAGGUCCACUGUGCACCCAAAGCCGUGCCAAGAAGUAGAAAACAAUACUGGUCUAAGCCCUCAAGUUUUCGUCCAACGAGGGAUCAAGAAACUAUUACUGGAAUUAGCACAGCGAACUUUUAACAUUUCUUAUGAAGCAGAAAUUGGCAACAAAUUCCAUAAACUUUUGUCUAUUACAAAAGUCUAUUUCUCCUUCACUUUUGAAGAAAAUUUCCAUGGACACAGAACUAUAUGUUGGUGGGUGUUCUCUCUCAACAUUCGAAAUAUUUCACUCCUUUCUUCCUGCUUGCAUGGCUUCUAAAGGUCUGAUAUAUUUCUUAUCCUAGUUCCUCUACAGAUAAGAUUUUCUUUCUUUCUGGCUUCUUUCAAGAUUUUCUCUUUGCCUUUGAUUUUCUAUAAUUUGAAUAUGGUAUACCUAGGUGAAGAUUUUUUUCUGGCAUUUAACCUGCUUGAUGAUCUCCGAUCUUCAUGAUCUGUAAUUUUGUGUCUGUCAUUAAUUCUUCAAAAUUCUCAGCCAUAAUUACUUCACCCAGCUUCUUUCUUUUCAUUCUGAUAUUCUCAUUGCACAUAUAUUACAUUUAAAAUUUUUCCCCCACAAUUCUCAGAUAUUCUGUUGUUUUGCAUUCUUUUUUCUCUUUGCAUUUCAGUUUUGAAAGUUUCUGUUGACAUUGCUUCAAGUACACAGGUUUUUUUUUCCUCAGCCAUGUUCAGUCUAUUGAUGAGCCCAUCAAAGGAAUUCUUCACUUCUGUUACAGUUUCUUUGAUUUCUAGUA